This 1341-nucleotide ribosomal RNA is filed under the name uncultured bacterium. RNAcentral describes it as "partial 16S ribosomal RNA". It matches the Rfam family "Bacterial small subunit ribosomal RNA", at positions 28 to 1381 of the family's 1533-position model. The record is from RNAcentral.
GACGAACGCUGGCGGCGUGCUUAACACAUGCAAGUCGAACGGUAAGGCUCCAGCUUGCUGGGGUACACGAGUGGCGAACGGGUGAGUAACACGUGGGUGACCUGCCCUGCACUUCGGGAUAAGCCUGGGAAACUGGGUCUAAUACCGGAUAGGACUGCACCGUGAGGGUGUGGUGGAAAGUUUUUUCGGUGUGGGAUGGGCCCGCGGCCUAUCAGCUUGUUGGUGGGGUAAUGGCCUACCAAGGCGGCGACGGGUAGCCGGCCUGAGAGGGUGGACGGCCACAUUGGGACUGAGACACGGCCCAGACUCCUACGGGAGGCAGCAGUGGGGAAUAUUGCACAAUGGGCGGAAGCCUGAUGCAGCGACGCCGCGUGGGGGAUGACGGCCUUCGGGUUGUAAACUCCUUUCACCAUCGACGAAGGGUUUCUGACGGUAGAUGGAGAAGAAGCACCGGCUAACUACGUGCCAGCAGCCGCGGUAAUACGUAGGGUGCGAGCGUUGUCCGGAAUUACUGGGCGUAAAGAGCUCGUAGGUGGUUUGUCGCGUCGUCUGUGAAAUUCCGGGGCUUAACUCCGGGCGUGCAGGCGAUACGGGCAUAACUUGAGUACUGUAGGGGAGACUGGAAUUCCUGGUGUAGCGGUGAAAUGCGCAGAUAUCAGGAGGAACACCGGUGGCGAAGGCGGGUCUCUGGGCAGUAACUGACGCUGAGGAGCGAAAGCAUGGGGAGCGAACAGGAUUAGAUACCCUGGUAGUCCAUGCCGUAAACGGUGGGCGCUAGGUGUGGGUUUCCUUCCACGGGAUCCGUGCCGUAGCUAACGCAUUAAGCGCCCCGCCUGGGGAGUACGGCCGCAAGGCUAAAACUCAAAGGAAUUGACGGGGGCCCGCACAAGCGGCGGAGCAUGUGGAUUAAUUCGAUGCAACGCGAAGAACCUUACCUGGGCUUGACAUAUACAGGAUCGCGCCAGAGAUGGUGUUUCCCUUGUGGCUUGUAUACAGGUGGUGCAUGGUUGUCGUCAGCUCGUGUCGUGAGAUGUUGGGUUAAGUCCCGCAACGAGCGCAACCCUUGUCUUAUGUUGCCAGCACGUUGUGGUGGGGACUCGUAAGAAACUGCCGGGGUUAACUCGGAGGAAGGUGGGGAUGACGUCAAAUCAUCAUGCCCCUUAUGUCCAGGGCUUCACACAUGCCACAAUGGUCGGUACAGUGGGUUGCCAGUCCGUGAGGGCGAGCUAAUCCCGCAAAGCCGGUCUCAGUUCGGAUCGGGGUCUGCAACUCGACCCCGUGAAGUCGGAGUCGCUAGUAAUCGCAGAUCAGCAACGCUGCGGUGAAUACGUUCCCGGGCCU